Protopterus annectens (West African lungfish) is the source of this 277-nucleotide long non-coding RNA. RefSeq lists it as uncharacterized. The transcript has 4 exons. The record is from RefSeq and is a predicted model, not a curated record. Lineage: Eukaryota; Metazoa; Chordata; Ceratodontiformes; Protopteridae.
AGAAUCAGUACUGUCUACGGAUAAUGGCACCCACAAGCAAGGUGACACCAUUUCAGAAAAGUCAGAAUCAGUACAGUCUAAGGAUAAUGGCAACCACAAGCAAGGUGACACCAUUCCAGAAAAUGCAGUUGGUAAAGAAUCAGAACAGUCUGAGGGUGGAGGCACCCACAAUCAAGGUGAGACCAUUCCAGAAAAUUCAGCUGUGAAAGAAACGGAUCCCUCUCAUCCAGGUGGCAACCCUGAGCCAGACAGUACUAGGCCAAAAGCACCAGGUAAU